Molecule: ribosomal RNA, 497 nt
Filed under: uncultured bacterium
Lineage: Bacteria
Description: partial 16S ribosomal RNA
Rfam family: Bacterial small subunit ribosomal RNA
Source: RNAcentral
GAUGAACGCUGGCGGCGUGCCUAAUACAUGCAAGUCGAGCGAACAGAUGAGGAGCUUGCUCCUCUGACGUUAGCGGCGGACGGGUGAGUAACACGUGGAUAACCUACCUAUAAGACUGGGAUAACUUCGGGAAACCGGAGCUAAUACCGGAUAAUAUAUUGAACCGCAUGGUUCAAUAGUGAAAGACGGUUUUGCUGUCACUUAUAGAUGGAUCCGCGCCGCAUUAGCUAGUUGGUAAGGUAACGGCUUACCAAGGCAACGAUGCGUAGCCGACCUGAGAGGGUGAUCGGCGACACUGGAGCGGAGACACGGUCCAUGCUCCUGCGGGAGGCAGCAGUAGGGAACCUUCCGCAAUGGGCGAAAGCCUGACGCAGCAACGCCGCGUGAGUGAUGAAGGUGUUCGGAUCGUAAAACUCUGUUAUUAGGGAAGAACAAAUGUGUAAGUAACUAUGCACGUCUUGACGGUACCUAAUCAGAAAGCCCCGGCUAACUACGUG